GGACAAUGUUUGAUCAGCAAUAAAGCACUCGACUCUACAUCUAGGGUCCAUAGUGGUAUUCUCAUAACAUUCUAUAUGGUAUUCUCAUAGCGGGUCAAUCCAGUAUAAAUAUUACUCAUAAUAUUCAUACCUAUGUUUAAGACUUGAUAACUCCUUAUCCAUGAUCCAUGAGAUGUGAUCAUCAGUCUAUACACAUAAUAGUCUUAAUGCUUUAAUAUUA
Molecule: long non-coding RNA, 220 nt
Filed under: Lathyrus oleraceus (garden pea)
Lineage: Eukaryota; Viridiplantae; Streptophyta; Magnoliopsida; Fabales; Fabaceae
Description: Pisum sativum (pea) long non-coding RNA (PSAT_LNC015593)
Source: RNAcentral